This 2193-nucleotide long non-coding RNA is filed under the name Sorghum bicolor (sorghum). Its description in RNAcentral is "long non-coding RNA (SBIC_LNC008293)". The record is from RNAcentral. Lineage: Eukaryota; Viridiplantae; Streptophyta; Magnoliopsida; Poales; Poaceae.
CCAUAAGUACAUUCACUGUGGUGGCAUAAAAAUAUUCCUGUCAUAUAAAAAUGAGAAUAUAAAAAUAUAUUUAUGAUCCUACCAAAGAGAGUAAUAUUUAUUAGAGGAAGCUCAAUAUGAUAAAAGGCAAAAGAGAUUUUAUGCUAACACUUAACCAGUUCCACAAAGCUUUGUUGUCUAUUUGAGCUCCACAGAAUUCAAGGAUCAAAGAAGACUAGCAGACAGAGGACAUCCUAAUAGCUGUCAGGGUGCUGCCGACAUUCAAAUACACCUCUGCCACCUGCUAGCUACAUCAGAAGAAAUUACGUCAAAAUCCAGCUUGGCGGAGAGCACCCCCAUUUAUCCAGCUAAGUGUUUCUACUCGCGUUUCUACUUUACUCAAAUAAUAAAAAUAUGCAUAAUCAUGAAAACACAAAUAAAAAUUUUGUUCUCAUGUCUUUGCUUAGUUUGCUAAAUAAAUAAAUAAAGUGUCUAGGCCAAACUGAACCCUCAUGAUAAGCUCCCACAUGGAAAUGAUGAAUAGUUGCUCUGCCAUGACUAGUUCAAAAAAUUGAAAUCUCACUCAAGUUUAGGCAUAACUGUUGUGAAUUAAGAUUUGCUCUAAACCUGAACUUGUGGGAAGAGUACUUGAUCUGAAGUCUAAGUCGUUAACGGAUAUGAUAUGGAAAGGUUGAGCUGCUAUUUAUCUGUUCCUAUCUUUGAAAAUCUUUAAAAAAUUACAUGAUGAGUUUCUGUAUGAUGAGAGUUUAAAAUCCUACCACAGCCAUAUAUACAUGCUUAUUAGACUAUAAACCACAUAUUUGCUUUUACUCCUUAUGAGCAUUGAGUGUGGUCAAGCUAUGUAGACCCUUAGGAGCUUGUCAUGCGGUUAAAAUCAAGAUUCAUUUGCACGUUCACUCACACAUGCUGCUUCUACUCCGGAAGUAUGCAUCCACAUAUAUCCACUCAUUUCCAUCUCCAGAUUCACCCAAAAUUAUUCUACUCCUAAUCCAGGAGAGAAUAGCCAAAAACAUUUCUCUAUUUCUAUUUUUCCCUGUGGAAUAAAUGCUCGAGUUAUCUUGGUUACUACCACUUGCUAUAUUAUUUCAGGAGAUGAGUGCUCUAAAAAAAAGAAGAUACAAGGAAAUAAAAAGGGGCAAGUGCCCGGAAUCUUGAAGAAAAGAAAAAGUGAGACGAGAGGUAAAAAUGGACAAGUGUCCAACAGUAGAAUUAGGGGUACAAGAUACCCACCUGAAAAAAAGACAAAAAAAGAAGAAGAAAAUAUAGAGCAUCUCAUUCUCCUCAAAAAGCUUCAAAGUGCAAGAAGGGUAUGUAUCCCCUAAAAAGAGCAAAAGUAGAAUUAGACUUUCACCAUUGUUAUCACCAUCAUCACCAUACACCAUUCACUCGCCACACAUGCAUAUCUUGAUUUGACUUAUUGACUUGUUCUUCUGGAUCCAUGGUUUGACUAUGCAAUAAAUGUCUUGUAAGUAUGUAUUAUCUGUCUCCCACCUAUGAGCUCCAGAUAUCAAAACCUUAUUAGAGUAGGGUGAGAGAGAAGGCAAUAUCACUAUGCCUCAUACCAAAAAUACCACAUACUUUGAGAGAAGACAUAUACCAUUACUACCUUGGAAAGGAUCUAGAAAUACCACAAAAGAGAGAUUUGAGAGAGUCAUACAAGGAAUCUCUAAGUUUUGUUUGAAAAUCUGCAAAAACUCCAGAGCUAUAGCUGAUCAAGAAUAAGAAACAUGGCGCUUGACUAGACUGUUCUAUCUUUUAACUGCUCAAGACACAAGUGACGGUUGCAAGCCCCAUGAUGAAAGGUAAAAUGAGUAAGUUUUAAGUCUUAACAGUUUACUCUAACUCAGAGAUGAGAUCUUGUUUGAACGCAUGUGCACCUUUAAGGCAUGAAACCACUGCAGAAACUCUUGAGUACAUCCUUGCUCAGGGACGAGCAAGAGGUAAGCUUGGGGGAGUUUGUUGACGGUCCUUAAGUACCAAAUAUAAUCAUCAAAUAAAUAAAGAAAAGGAUCCAAAUGCUACUAACACCCAGAUUUAGGGUUCUAUCUGACAGAAUUCCACGAGUUUUGGUGUUUGUCUAUUUCUGUAGGGGGUUAUCAGGAAAUACGGACGAAAGGCCCACACGUCGGGUUUACAUAGAGAUAUUAACGUGCCGCGCAAUUUUCUACAAUCUAGAAGACUCUAGAAGCCACG